Molecule: transfer RNA, 73 nt
Filed under: Ophiopholis japonica
Lineage: Eukaryota; Metazoa; Echinodermata; Ophiuroidea; Amphilepidida; Ophiactidae
Description: tRNA-Asn
Rfam family: tRNA
About the family: Transfer RNA (tRNA) molecules are approximately 80 nucleotides in length. Their secondary structure includes four short double-helical elements and three loops (D, anti-codon, and T loops).
Source: RNAcentral
UAGGUUGCAGCUUAAUUGGUUGAGCAUCUGGCCGUUAACCAGGAGGCGAUGGGAUCAAAGCCCUUUAACCUAG